Molecule: ribosomal RNA, 443 nt
Filed under: uncultured bacterium
Lineage: Bacteria
Description: partial 16S ribosomal RNA
Rfam family: Bacterial small subunit ribosomal RNA
Source: RNAcentral
CCUACGGGUGGCAGCAGUGGGGAAUAUUGGGCAAUGGGCGCAAGCCUGACCCAGCAACGCCGCGUGAGGGAAGAAGGCUUUCGGGUUGUAAAGCUCUUUUAUCAGGGACGAAACAAGUGACGGUACCUGAUGAAGAAGCCACGGCUAACUACGUGCCAGCAGCCGCGGUAAUACGUAGGGGGCAAGCGUUAUCCGGAUUUACUGGGUGUAAAGGGCGUGUAGGCGGGAGUGCAAGUCAGAUGUGAAAGCUGUGGGCUCAACCCAUAGACUGCAUUUGAAACUGUAGUGCUUGAGUGCUGGAGAGGUAAUCGGAAUUCCGAGUGUAGCGGUGAAAUGCGUAGAUAUAAGGAGGAACACCAGUGGCGAAGGCGGAUUGCUGGACAGUAACUGACGCUGAGGCGCGAAAGCGUGGGGAGCAAACAGGAGUAGAUACCCGAGUAGUC